GACGAACGCUGGCGGCGUGCUUAACACAUGCAAGUUGAACGGGCAGGUAUGGAAGCUUGCUGAAGUAUCUGUUAGUAGCGGACGGGUGAGUAAUGCAUGAGAAGCUGCCAUUGGGAGGGGGACAACAGUUGGAAACGGCUGCUAAUACCCCAUAUGCCGGAAGGUGAAACGGAGUGAUCCGCCCGAUGAGGUGCUCAUGUCCUAUCAGCUAGUUGGUGGGGUAACGGCUCACCAAGGCGACGACGGGUAGCCGGCCUGAGAGGGUGACCGGCCACACUGGAACUGAGAUACGGUCCAGACUCCUACGGGAGGCAGCAGUGGGGAAUAUUGGGCAAUGGGGGCAACCCUGACCCAGCGACGCCGCGUGAGGGAAGACGGCCUUCGGGUUGUAAACCUCUUUUGUACGGGAAGAAGGAUGUGACGGUACCGUGCGAAUAAGUCCCGGCUAACUACGUGCCAGCCGCCGCGGUAA
RNAcentral lists this ribosomal RNA (472 nucleotides) under uncultured bacterium. RNAcentral's name for it is "partial 16S ribosomal RNA". It matches the Rfam family "Bacterial small subunit ribosomal RNA", at positions 28 to 523 of the family's 1533-position model. The record is from RNAcentral.